Molecule: ribosomal RNA, 253 nt
Filed under: uncultured bacterium
Lineage: Bacteria
Description: partial 16S ribosomal RNA
Rfam family: Bacterial small subunit ribosomal RNA
Source: RNAcentral
GACGGAGGGUGCUAGCGUUGUUCGGAAUUACUGGGCGUAAAGGGCGCGUAGGCGGCCUGGUGAGUCGGAUGUGAAAGCCCGGGGCUCAACCCCGGAACGGCAUCCGAGACGGCCAGGCUGGAGACCGGGAGAGGAGAGUGGAAUAGCCAGUGUAGAGGUGAAAUUCGUAGAUAUUGGCUGGAACACCGGUGGCGAAAGCGGCUCUCUGGCCCGGUUCUGACGCUGAGGCGCGAAAGCGUGGGGAGCAAACAGG